AACGAACGCUGGCGGCAUGCCUAACACAUGCAAGUCGAACGAGACCUUCGGGUCUAGUGGCGCACGGGUGCGUAACGCGUGGGAACCUUCCCUUAGGUUCGGAAUAACUCCCCGAAAGGGGUGCUAAUACCGGAUAAUGUCUUCGGACCAAAGAUUUAUCGCCUUUGGAUGGGCCCGCGUUGGAUUAGCUAUUUGGUAGGGUAAAAGCAUACCAAGGCGACGAUCCAUAGCUGGUCUGAGAGGCAGAUCAGCCACACUGGGACUGAGACACGGCCCAGACUCCUACGGGAGGGAGCAGUGGGGAAUAUUGGAAAGUGGGCGAAAGCCUGAUCCAGCACUGCCGCGUGAGUGAUGAAGGCCUGAGGGUUGUAAAGCUCUUUUAACCGGGAUGAUAAUGACGGUACCGGGAGAAUAAGCCCCGGCUAACUACGUG
Molecule: ribosomal RNA, 433 nt
Filed under: uncultured bacterium
Lineage: Bacteria
Description: partial 16S ribosomal RNA
Rfam family: Bacterial small subunit ribosomal RNA
Source: RNAcentral